Molecule: ribosomal RNA, 555 nt
Filed under: uncultured bacterium
Lineage: Bacteria
Description: bacterial SSU rRNA
Rfam family: Bacterial small subunit ribosomal RNA
Source: RNAcentral
AAUAGAUACCCGGGUAGUCCACGCCGUAAACGAUGGAUGCUAGCUGUUAUGCGUAUCGACCCGUGUAGUAGCGAAGCUAACGCGUUAAGCAUCCCGCCUGGGGAGUACGAACGCAAGUUUAAAACUCAAAGGAAUUGACGGGGACCCGCACAAGCGGUGGAGCGUGUUCUUUAAUUCGAGGCUAAGCGAAGAACCUUACCAGGGCUUGACAUCCUUGGAAUUUCUCCGAAAAGAGAGAGUACUUUAUUGGACCAAGUGACAGGUGCUGCAUGGCCGUCGUCAGCUCGUGUCGUGAGAUGUUUGGUUAAGUCCAUUAACGAGCGCAACCCUUAUGAAUAGUUGUAUUUUUCUAUUCAGACUGCCCCGGUAACGGGGAGGAAGGGGGGAUGAUGUCAGGUCAGUAUUGCCCUUACGCCCUGGGCUAGAAACGCGCUACAAUGGCCGGUACAAUGCGCUGCCAACCCGGCAGGGGGAGCAAAUCGCAUCAAAGCCGGUCCCAGUUCGGAUAAGAGGCUGAAACUCGCCUCUUUGAAGCCGGAAUCGCUAGUAAUCGGU